UACGAAGGGGGCUAGCGUUGCUCGGAAUCACUGGGCGUAAAGGGCGCGUAGGCGGCCAUUCAAGUCGGAGGUGAAAGCCCAGGGCUCAACCCUGGAAUUGCCUUCGAUACUGUUUGGCUAGAGACCGGAAGAGGUAAGUGGAACUGCGAGUGUAGAGGUGAAAUUCGUAGAUAUACACAAGAACACCAGUGGCGAAGGCGAUCUUCUGGCUAUUACCUGACGCUAAGGCUCGAAAGCGUGGGGAGCAAACAGG
This 253-nucleotide ribosomal RNA is filed under the name uncultured bacterium. Its description in RNAcentral is "partial 16S ribosomal RNA". It matches the Rfam family "Bacterial small subunit ribosomal RNA", at positions 524 to 776 of the family's 1533-position model. The record is from RNAcentral.